UCUUUCAGCAAAAGCUGCAUUGUCUUUCAGCAAAAGCUGCAUUGUGUUUCAGCCACAGACUACAACAGGAUUUGAAGAUUCGUUCAAAUAUUCGGCUGCUUUCUCUAUGGAAAUAGUCAUGAAGAGGUAGUGAGCAGCAGAACACAACAAGACGCAACAAGACACAACAAGUAAAAACUUAAUAAAUCUCAUCUUUAAAAUUUAAAUUGUUCUUAUACUUUAAGAGUAAUUCACAUUUUAAACUUUAAUAAAACCUUUUUGCACUUUUAA
Molecule: long non-coding RNA, 270 nt
Organism: Leucoraja erinaceus (little skate)
Lineage: Eukaryota; Metazoa; Chordata; Chondrichthyes; Rajiformes; Rajidae
Exons: 2
Source: RefSeq, a predicted model, not a curated record